Molecule: non-coding RNA, 312 nt
Organism: Arachis ipaensis
Lineage: Eukaryota; Viridiplantae; Streptophyta; Magnoliopsida; Fabales; Fabaceae
Source: RefSeq, a predicted model, not a curated record
GGUGGCUGCCGGGCUGCCACCAAGCCGGUUCAGAGACCGCCACUAUUUCGGUUCAGCCGUUCCUUCUUCGUUCGAGUGGUUGUGGUUGCUGAGAAAGCGGGUUGGAGCUGAGGUUUUGACUGCAGUCGAUUCGGGUCAAUACGAAAGGAGUCAGUUAGCGAGUUUGGGUUGUGAUUUCAAUGUAUCGAGGUUAUUCCUUUUCAGGAUAUGGAAGACGAAGCUUCAGGAGAGUUAUAUUUAUUUUCUGUUUAUUCGGUCUUUUUGUAUCACCGUAGCUAUUAUUUUUCCCUCACCUUUAUCUUUAUGAAGCUU